RNAcentral lists this ribosomal RNA (835 nucleotides) under Tubeufia hyalospora. Its description in RNAcentral is "eukaryotic LSU rRNA". It matches the Rfam family "Eukaryotic large subunit ribosomal RNA", at positions 87 to 944 of the family's 3401-position model. Lineage: Eukaryota; Fungi; Ascomycota; Dothideomycetes; Tubeufiales; Tubeufiaceae. The record is from RNAcentral.
CGGCGAGUGAAGCGGCAAUAGCUCAAAUUUGAAAUCUGGUCUUUUUGAGCCGAGUUGUGUUUUGUAGAGGAUGCUUCGGCUUACGUCUCGGUCUAAGUUCCUUGUGGCAGGACGUCUCAAAGGGGGAGAAUCCCGUUUGUGGCCGCGACUUCCGCCAUGUGAAGCUCCUUCGACGAGUCGAGUUGUUUGGGAAUGCAGCUCUAAAUGGGAGGUAUAUUUCUUCUAAAGCUAAAUACCGGCCAGAGACCGAUAGCGCACAAAUAGAGUGAUCGAAAGAUGAAAAGCACUUUGGAAAGAGAGUUAAAAAGUACGUGAAAUUGUUGAAAGGGAAGCGCUUGCGACCAGACUUGCCCGCGGAUGCUCAACCGGUCCUUCGGCCGGUGCACUCUUCCGCGGUCAGGCCAGCAUCAGUUCGAGUAGCCAGAUAAAGGCUUAGGGAAUGUGGCUCUCUUCGGGGAGUGUUAUAGCCCUUUGUGCAAUAUGCUUCACUUGGAUUGAGGCCCGCGCUUCGGCUAGGAUGCUGGCGUAAUGGUCGUAAGCGGCCCGUCUUGAACCACGGACCAAGGAGUCUAACAUCUAUGCGAGUGUUUGGGUGUCAAACCCGUGCGCGAAAAAAAAGUGAACGGAGGUGGGAUCCUUUUGGGUGCACCAUCGACCGAUCCUGAUGUCUUCGGAUGGAUUUGAGUAAGAGCAUAGCUGUUGGGACCCGACAGAUGGUGAACUAUGCCUGACUAGGGUGAAGCCAGAGGAAACUCUGCUGGAGGCUCGCAGCGGAUCUGACGUGCAAAUCGAUCGUCAGAUUUGAGUAUAGGAGCGAAAGACUAAUCUAACCAUC